UAGAGGACUAAAUUUUCUUUUAAGGGGGGGAGAGUGUAAUAUCCCUCGCUUUUAAAAAUUAUUAAUAAAGAUUUAUAUGUAAAUUGGAGGACCUAUAUGUAAAUAUAGAAAUUACAAGGACUAAACUGCUAAGUUGCAAAAAAGAAAAAAAAGGGGAAAACCGAAAAUUCGGUAUUAUCCCACCGCCUCCCACGCACUCUGUUUCUUCCAGAAACAGAGAGAGCGGUGGGGCGUGAGGACAAGAAGAAGAGGAGGUGGCUGCAGCGAGGGCUGCAGCGAGAAGCUGUGGGGCGUGGGGAGAAGAAGAGAGGAAGAAGAGGGAGAAGAGAAGAAGAAGAAGAAGAAGAAGAGAAGAGGAUAGCUGCGGCAAGGCUGCAGCGAGGAGGUGUGUGGGGUUGGGGAGGAAAAGGGAAGAGGAGAAGAAGAGGGAAAAGAGAGGGAAGAGGGAGAGGAGCGAGAGGUGGCAGCAGCUAGGGCUGCAGCACCUCUGUUUCCUGCAGGUGGAAACAGAGGAGAUGUGUGGGGCGUUCGAAGAGGAGAAGAAGAAGAAGAGGAAGAGAAGAGGAAGAGGAAGCAGGGGAAGAGGUUGUGAUACCUCUGUUUCCUGCAGACGAAACAGAGGAGAGGGUGUGGGUGACGUCGGGGAGAAGAAGGGGAGGAAGGAGAAGAAGAGAAGAAGAAGAAAGGAAGGAAAAGGAAGAGGAGAAGGGAAGAAAGUAGCUGCGGCUGCGGUUGUGGCAGCUGCAGCUGUGGCAGGGAAAGAAGAAGAGAAAGGAAGAAGAGAAGGGGCUACGGCUGCGGCGAUGGCAGCUGCAGUUGGAAGAGAAGAAGGAGAGGAAGAUGAGCAGGGGAGGAAGAAGAGGCUGCGAGUGUGGUGGCUGCGGCCGUGGCUGCGACUCCGGCUGCGGCUGCGACGUUGGCUGCGGUAGCUGCGGCAGCGGUGGUGGCUGCAGUAGCUGCAGUAGCUGCUUUUGGGAAAGAGAAAGAGUAGGAACGAGAGAAGGGAAGAAGGAAAUAGUGCAGUGGAAGGGGGCUGCGGUUGUGACCGCAGUUGCGGUCGUGGCUGCGAUUGUGGCAGCGGCAGCGACGGCGGCUGUGGCAGCUGUGUUUGGGAAAGAAAAAGAAGGAAUGAGAGUAAGAGAGAGCAGGUGACUGUGCCUCGAUGUUCGACACGUGGUGUAGUUGCGAAGAAAGGAAGAAAACGGGAGCACAAAACGAAACAGAGAGAGGACACGGAGGAAAAGUAGAAAGAUUGGAUUGGCACCUUCCUUGGAUAUUCAGAUCAAAAUAUUUGAAAGGUCAGCUUGUCACUCUUCGAGAUGUUUGAUUUGGGCUGAGGCAGUGGAUAGCUAUUCAGAAUAAUGGGCAAGUCUGGUUGGUUAUUACGAUAUUGUUGUAUAAGUAUGUCUUGUAUAUAAUGAAAUGUUGUCGAUGAACCGAAAUGGAUAUACUGUGUCCAAGUGUUAGGAGAUCUCUCUUAUUUGGAAUUUCAGAAUGUUAAGUCUAAUUUAUGGUGAUAUGAACUUGUGGUGAAUAGUUGGAGUUCUGAUUGUAUAAUUUAUUUAGCUUGUGGAUUUAUAAAUGUUGUUCAUGUUUGUCAAGUUGGCUUGGGUUGCCAUAAAUGUGAAUUAUCGAGUGAUGUGAUAUAUGAUUUUAAACUGCACAGGUUUUAUGGA
This is a long non-coding RNA of Musa acuminata AAA Group (dessert banana), 1676 nucleotides long. RefSeq lists it as uncharacterized. NCBI's taxonomy places the organism in Eukaryota, Viridiplantae, Streptophyta, Magnoliopsida, Zingiberales, Musaceae. The transcript is spliced from 2 exons. The record is from RefSeq and is a predicted model, not a curated record.